CAAGGUAAGGUUAUCUUAUCCAUUUUGACUUUCGCCCACAAUGGAUUAUUAAAAUCUAAACUUGGGAAAAUGAGAAAGAAGAAACAGAAAUGUCAAUCAAAAUAGCUGAAUUGCCUUCACCCCAUCUUCAAACUAAGAAGAAGAAAGCUUUGAUCGUGAUUGAUGCCUUCCUUCAACCUCAUUUCCUCUGUGCUUUUGUUUUUUUACAUCUUUGAUCUCGCAGCCGAAGCCAACCCAAGUUUCUUAUACAAGUUCUGUUAUGACAAAGAUACCACUUUUACNNNNNNNNNNNNNNNNNNNNNNNNNNNNNNNNNNNNNNNNNNNNNNNNNNNNNNNNNNNNNNNNNNNNNNNNNNNNNNNNNNNNNNNNNNNNNNNNNNNNGGUGUCUGAUGUGUAAUCACACGAACCCAUCUUUAAAACAUUUAAACUGUUGCAAACCUGAAUUUGGGAAUUAAUAGCAUAUCCAACUUCGAUCCGGCUCGACAUAAGUUGAAUUUUUAAUUUUUAAAUUUUUUAUAAAAUUGUGAUUAAUUAAUUUUUUUUAAAAUGAAAGAUUUUGGCCCAAAUUGUUAUUAGAUUUGCUUAAUGAUUUAUCUCUGAAGUUGUGUGCUAAUGUAUAUUUAGACACAUUUGAUUACAAUACACAAGAAAAAAGAGGGAAGAAAGGUCCCUUUAAUAAAUUAUUAAACUGAGAAGAUUAAAAAUGGAGAAGGGUAAAAUGAGACUAAUAUAGAGGUGGUAGAAUGAGACUACUAGUGAUAAAUUUUAGAGAUUUUUAAUUCAAUUAAUAUUAAAUAUGUUUAAAGGGUAAUUUCAUAAAUAUCUUGGGGCAAUUUCAUUCUAAACCUGACAGGACUGUUUUAAAAAAUUAACACUCCAUGCCCUGACCCCAAAUUCAAUAAAAAAACUGACCUUAUUGGGUCAGAUUGGCUUGGAACUCGUCGUAUUUGGGGUUUUUUGUCAUCCCUACAACUAACUAAUGUAAGAUAUUAAAAAAAAACGAGUACUUCUUUCAAGUCCCUCGCAAAAAACUCUAAAAAGCUGGGAUAAAGCACAAAAAUAAUAAUAAGAUCCAAAAGAAAAUAAAGGCAUUAAAAAUAUUAUUUGAUCAGGUAGUAAUGUAGCCAAUUAUUCCAGAUAUGUUCCAAAUCAAUUGGUUAGUCCAAUGUGAAGCCUAAAUUAUAGUUAAAAAAAAUUGUUGCAAGUGACUUGAAAGAGAUACUCUUUUUCUUAUUUUUCUUAUUUUAUUACCUCACAUGGGUUAGUCGAUAGAUUAUAAAUGGCUAAAAAUGAUUUUUUAAAAAAAAUAUUUUUUAAAGUUUUUAGAGUUAGGACAAAAAUGAUAGUUUGUAAAUGUUGACGAUCAAAUUUAUUAUUUUUUUAGAAUUAGAACUAAAAUGACAAAUUUUGUAAAUAUUGAGGGCUAAAUUUGUUGACUUUUUUUAUAUUUAUGAUCAAAUUAAUAGAAUGUGUAAACAUGAGGGGGCUACUGUUUUAUAUUUAGGAUCAAAUUGAUAGAAUGUGUAAAUAUUAUAGGGCUAAUUUUGUUACUAGAUCAAUAAAAAAACUCACAUAAGCUCAUAGUGACUCAAAUAUUUAAUUUUAAAAAGUUUAGUGACUAAAUCGAAAAAAUUAAUAGUUGGGUGACCAAAAUAGAACAAAAGGCAUAGUUGGUGGCCCUUUUUAUAGUUUACUCAUAAAAAAUAAUUUUUAGCAUGUUCCAUGUUAAAUAUUUAACGGAUGAGCUAAUUUGCAUGUUUCGAAAUGUAUAAAAGUUAAUUUAUCGUUUUUCAAUAGAGAGAUUGAAAUGUAAUCCACACCUAAAUAUAGGGACUUCCCUAAUAUUUUUACCGAAGAAAUUGAUGCAUAAGAAAAUUCAAAUACAUCAAUAUCUUAUAUAAAAUAUCCGUGCUCUAAUUAUUUGAUUAAUUAUUAUUUUAUAAGCACAUAAAAAUAUAAUAUUAGUUUUGUCGAAACAAUUUUUUGAAAACAAAAAUUUAGUUGUCGACUUAAAAAAAAACAAAAAUUGGAGUCGCCACCGAUCCUUUAUUGAGGUGUGAUCGGCUCACCUUAAAAACGAUUCUGGUCUGCGAAUUUUAAGAAAAUAGGUUCGGGAGUCAGUUACGUACGAGGAAGGGGUAGCACCCUCGUAACGCCCAAAAUCGAUACCAAAUUGAUUAUUUGAUCUCUUAGUGUCGAGGGUUAAAAAGAUUUAAAAAAAAAAAACUCAAAUGAUGAAAUGUAAAAAGGAUAAUCAAUUGUUUAAGUCAGAUGAAAAAAUCGAGACCCAAUACAUUAGGGUACAAUUUCUCAAAAUCCCCAAACUUUGAAUAUCGCUUUGAUUUUAUAAGAAAAUCUUCAUUUCGAGAAAGCAAUAUGUCAUGCCCAAUACAUUAGGACACAACAAGUUAAGUUCCCGAAAAUGAUUUUAUACAUAUGCAUUUUGAAUAAAGAAUAUUCUCAAUUACUUAGGAUUAACAAAGAAAAUCGGAACCCAAUACGCUAGGGCUCAAUUUUCUCGAAAAUCCCGAAUAUCGAAUAUUGCAUUAUUUUAAAAACUUUUGAAUCAAAAGAAAAUGAUUUUAAUGUUUUGAAGAAACCAAAUACAUUUUCUUUUUUUGAAAAAAAUGAUAAAAUGUUAAUAUACAACAUGAAACAAAUACUUUAAUUUAAAUUAUACAUGUAUAUGUAUAAGUAUAUACAUAUGUAAAAACAUGAAAUACACCAAACAAAAACAACAAAAAAAACUUAUAAUAAUUCUAAAAAAGGUACGUAUAUGUAUAUUAUAGAAAAUGCAUGUAUAUAUGUGCAUGGAUUAUGAAAUAUAAAAGAUGUAUAUGUAUUAUAAAAUAAAAAAAGGAAAAAAAGUAUAAUAUAUUAAUAAAUUAUGAAAUUAUGAAAAUAUGUAUAUAUAUAUAAAAAUGUGGAAAAUAUAUUUACAAUAAUUUCGAAUAGUAUAUGUAUAUAUAUUAUAAAAAAUGUAUAUAUAUAUGAAUUAUAAAAUAUGGAAAAUGUAUAAAUAUUAUAAAAUAUAAAUGUAUAUACAUAUAUAUGCGUAUAAAAACUAUGAAAAUAAAAUAAUAAUAAAAUAUGUAUAUGUAUUUAAAAAACAUUUAAAAUAUAUACAUAUAUAUUAUAAAAUACAUAUGCGUGUAUAUAUGUAGGUAUAAUAAUAAUAUAUAAUAUAAUAAUAAUUAAUACAAUAAGAGUGUAAAAAUAAUUAAUUUAAUAAUAAAUAACUAAUAACAAAUAGAGGACUAAAUUGAAACAAAAGUAAAACAUGUGGUUAAAUUCAAAAGAAAUAAAAAAUGUUUAAACACAUUUUGAAAAACAAGGGGGAUCAAAUGCGCAAAUAGACCAUCAGAGGAAAAUACAGGCUCCAAACGGUAAGCUUUGUAUGCUACAUAAAGGUCACUUAAAACCUAAACUAAAAAACCUUAGUUAUUUCUCUCCUGUGUGCGCCGUUUCUUCCCAAAACCCCUCCUUUUUCCUUUAUUUCGCACAGAACAAGGAAGGGCUUCGAGAGCACAUCACCCAGGUAUGCUUUCCCUUUUAAUUAUCUUUGAUUUGCGAAGAAAAGAACAAAGGAAAACAAAAGAAAAAGGAAAGAAAUCGAGGGAAAAAAAAAGAAAAACCUUCAAAUUGCUUUUUAAUUCUCUAUUUUUUAAUAGGUUUUGAUAUCAUCCCCCCUCCCACAAUACAAUUUUUCUCUAGUUUUUAUAGUCAGAAUUACAGCAAAACAAAAGUGAUAAAAAAAUCCUAUUCCGUUAUUUGCUGCGUCUAUUGCUGUUUGGAUCUACUUUUCUCACAGGUAUGGAGGUUGUGGAAGAGGCGCACGUGUGCGGAGAAUGCGGCGGCAAUUAGGGUGUGAGGCACUGGAAGUUGUUUGCUGUUAGGGUUUCUGCAAUCGGGUUGGGAUUUGGGCUGUAAUGGGUUUGUAAUUUGGGCUUGGUGUUGGGUAAUGUAAUUAGGUAAUGGGUUAAUAAUUAGGUUUGUGAUAUUGAGGCUUAGUGGUUUGAUGUAUUUUGGGUUUGGGUAAAUUAAUUGGGCCUACUGUUGUAAUAAAGUGGACAUUUAUUUGGUUUAUUUUAUUUCAUUUUAAUUCUAUGAUUUUGGGCCCAGGCUAAAAUUGGGUAUUACAGCAGCCUCUCUUUGUUCGUUGUCGUGUAACGGGAACGGAGCAAAGACUCUAAAAAUAGCCAAUUUUGUCCGGUCGUGUUGGACAUUGCUGCUCUUCUUCAAGUAGCCUCAUUCCAACCUAUUACAUUCUCAGAGGUAUAAGAAUUGGUGCUUCGGUCCAGUCUACUACAAUGCCAGUAAGAUACUUCAAUCUGCCCCAUUGCAACUUCAAAGAUAUAAGAUCCAUCACUUUAAUUCGCUUCAUGGAAACAAGAUUCGGUACCUUUAGCUUUAAUCUAUUCUAUUGUAAUGCCAAGGAGAUAGGAUUCGCUGCCUUCGAUCUGCUCCACUGCUGCUUAAGGAGACAGGAUCUACAAUCUUCAACCUACUUCACUACUGCUCAGGGAGAAGGGAUUGAUGGCUUAAAUAUGCUUCCCUACUACCUUGGGAAGAUAGGAUUUGCCAUCUUCGAUCUGCUCCACUAUUGCUACAAUCUUCAACCUACUCCACUACUGCUUAGGGAGAUAGGAUUGGUGGCUUAAAUUUGCUUCCCUAAUACCUUGGGAAGAUAAGAUUCGUCGUCUUCGAUCUGCCCCACUACUGCAGAAUCUACAAACUUUGACCUACUCCACUGCUGCUCAGGGAGAUAGGACUGGUGUCUUCGAUCUACUUCGCUGCCAGCACAAGAAGACAAGAUUUGCUAUCUUUGAUCUACUUCGCUGCUCCACUGCUACUCAGGGAGAUAAGACUGCCACAUUUGAUCUACUUCGCUGCCAAUAUAGGAAGACAAGAUCUGCUAUCUUUGAUCUACUUCGCUGCCAAUACAGGAAGAUUAGAUCUAUUAUCUUCGAUCUACUACACUACCAAUAUAUGAAGACAAGAUCUACUAUCUUUGAUCUACUUCACUGCCAAUACAGGAAGACAAGAUCUGCUAUUUUCAACCUGCUCCACUGCUGCUCAGGGAGAUAAGGCUUUAUCUUAAAUCUGCUUCUCUACUACCUUUGGAAGAUAAGAUUCACCGUCUUCGAUCUGCUCCACUAUUGCUUAGGGAGACACGAUCUACUAUCUUCAGUCUGCUUAACUGUGAUGUCGGGGAAGUAAGAUUCGGUGUUGUAGUUUCAAUCUGUUCCACUACACCACUAGGGAAGUAAGAUUUGCUAUUCUCAGUUUGCCCCACUGCAACUUCAGGGGAAUAAGACUUGCUUUCUCAGUCUGCUCUGCUAUAACCUCAGGGAGAUAAGACCUAAUGCGAUCCAUUCUAGUUCAACUGCUUCGCUACAACCCAGGGGGGCAAGGUUGGUGUCUUCGAUCUGCUUCGCUGUCGGUGCAAGAAGGCAAGAUCUGCUAUUUUUAACCUGCUUCGCUGCAACUCAGGGAGGCAAGGCUAGUGUCUUCAAUCUGCUUCACUGUCAGUACAGGAAGGUAAGAUCUACUAUCUUUAACCUGUCCUGCUGCAACCGAGAGAGGCAAGGCUAGUGUCUUCGAUCUACUCCACUACUGCUUAGGGAGAUAACAUCUGUAAUUUUCAACCUACUCCGCUGCUACUCAGGGAAAUAAGGCUGGGGACUUCGAUCUGCUCCACUACUGCUUAGGGAGAUAAGAUCUGUAAUUCUCAGCCUACUCCACUACUACUCAAGGAGAUAGGAUUCACGAUCUUCCACUUAUUCCACUGUUGACCAGGGAGAUAACAUUCGUAAUCUUCAACUUAUUCCACUAUUGACCAGGGAGAUAAGAUUCGUAAUCUUCAACCUAUUCCACUGCUACCCAGGGAGAUAGGACUUGCAAUCUUCAACCUAUUCUACUGCUGCUCAGGGAGAUAAGUCUUGUAAUCUUCAACCUAUUCCACUACUGUCUAGGGAGAUAGGACUCACAAUCUUCAACCUAUUUCGCUGCUAUCCAGGGAGAUAGGAUUCACAAUCUUCAACCUAUGUCGCUAUUGUCCAAGGAGAUAGGAUUCACAAUCUUCGAUCUAUUUCACCGUCAGUACAGGAAUGCAAGAUCUGCUAUUUUCAACCUGCUCUGCUACAAUGCAGGGAGGCAAGGCUUUGAGGUUUCACCGAUCUGUUCUCUAGGGAACAUGACCUGUAUAACGAACCUAAUUAUGCCUAAGAUUAGGACAGCAUGAUCAAAGUGCAUCAAAUGCUCCUAACUAGACAUGUGUGAAUGGUGUUUGCAUGAAUGUAGAAUGCUAUUUUUGAGGAUGAUCCUUUUUUAUUGCUUAGGUUAUCAUUGCUCGAAUUUUAUUAAGGCUUUAUCACUGACGUGCUACAACACCUUCCUACUGGCUGGCGUCUCCAAAGAAAUACUUAGUCAGAUUGCCCCCACUGUAAACCUCAAACUUCAAUCCACUGGGACGCAAAAUUUGUACCGUAAUUCUCCCACUGCAAACCGAGGGUAAAAACAUAUGGCUUUUUCUCAAUCCUCUCAUAUCACAAUUCAAGGAUACAUGAUCUAAAUCUCUCUGGUCCUUUACACCAUUCCCCGGGUGUCGUACCAAAGGCUCAUGUAUAAAUAAAGGCUAUGUUCUCUGAGGAAACCUCUUCGUAUUGCCUGGUGAUCAUUGCUUGCUUGUUUAUUUAAGUUCUUACAUCAACACAACAUCUUGUCAUUUUGUUCAAUCAAUGUUUUUAACAACAAAAUCCAAAGAGAAAGUCCUAAUUUAGACUCUUCCUUUUCAGAUUUCCAACCUUUAAACCUGGUGCAUUCUAAAUAAUAGUCCUAUUUCAGGCUCCUGUAUUAUUUAGAAACUUCUAGAGUAAUAUGAAAAACUUCCCUUGUGAAAGUUUUAUUAGUCCAUUAAUCAUUAUUCUAAUGCAACAUGCUUGCAAAAAAAACAAAACGAUGGAUAAAAUAGAGCUAGUUCUGAGCAUAGCUUGAAAUGAAUAAAUUAUCAAAGAUAGUAAAGAAGGAUAACAAAAAAAUUAAUUGGGAAUGCGUAUCUUGGAAAUGAAUGAAGUGUUCAAAGAAUAGCAAAUUUAGUAUAAAUAGUAUGAAUAUUGGGUGCCCCAGAUAUCGCAGCUUGAACUUCUCUGUACAAACUUUUUGAAGAUCCUUCUGAGUUUGAUAUGUGUUUAGGAGAUCUACAGUACUCUGCCAAUGCCCCAAGAUGUUGCCUACCCUUUCCUGAUGAUUUAGGUAUAACAAGAUCACCACAUGCCCCAAUCUGGUUAAAAUUCAAGUUGCUCUAAUCACCUCGUGCCCCAUUCUGUCCAAUAUUUGAGCCGCCCUUUUCGGGUUUUCAACUCAAAUCCCCUUUGGUCUCAAGGCGCUCUUUGCGGAUUUUCACCUUGGCCUCUCUAUUUUUCUUUUCUUUUCCUUUUCCUUUUUCUUUUUUAUCACUUUCAUUAACCCGAUUAGCGUGAAAGACAGUACUUAGAAUAAUCCGCCGCAGCCGCUCUCUCGACCAACUCUGGUGCUUCUUCGAUCCAGAACCAUUCCUCUAAUAAGUAGCAUCCCUCCCUUGCCAACACAUGGGUUGCCUCAUUUGCAUCUCUCCUCACAUGGUGAAAGGUGACAUAAACAAACAAACCCAUAUUUUGUUUUAUGUCUAUAAUGAUUGGGCCAAGAACUGACUUGUCUGAUGUGUCUAAUUGCAGUUUUUUGAUAAUUGCAAGAGAGUCCCCUUCAAUCUGAAUAUGCUGGAACCCAAGCUCCCUCGCAAACCAAAUUGCCGAUUCACAUGCCCGAGCUCUGCCACAAACGCAUCUACAACAUGAGAGUAAGGGUAAGUACAAGCCCCCAUUAUCAAACACACUUUGUUUCGUAUAAUAACUCCUAAAAAUGAUUUGCUUCCAUGCACAUUAAAAGAGGAGUUGAAAUUAAUUUUCACAGUGCCCUGUUGUGGUGGCCUCCAGUAACUAGUCUUAGGCAUACAAACAAGGGGGCUCUCAUCUGAAAUGGAUUCCAAUUCUUUAAUAUACCCUGCAAUAAACCCUGAUAUAUCUUGAAUUGAAAUGGAUUCCAAUUCUUUAAUACACCCUGCAAUAAACCCUAAUAUAUCUUGAAUUGAUUGUUUGAUACCAUCAUACACCAAUUGAUUUCUAACACACAAAUAGCCCAUAUUGUUACUGUCAAAAGUUUUAUGUUUAUACCAUUUUCCAUGUUGAACGAGUCCAUUAACCAAUAUCUAUGGUCUGAGUGCUUUGAGACAGGGGAUCUAAUGACAUGCAAAGAGUCCAGAACUUGUUCUGUAACUGGGCAAAACUGAAGGAGAUGGUCCACUGACUUAGUAUCCUCAAGGCACAUCAGACAAGCACUAGGAUUAAGGAGAUUUCUCUUAUUCAGAUUAGCAUAAAUAGGUAAAAAGUCAUUGUAAACUUUCCACAAAUGAAAUUUUAUUUUCUACGGAAGUUGUAACGCCCAUAGAGUAGAGAGAAAAAUUUGUACCAAGAGUUAUAGUAGGCUUGUUAGGAGUGUUCUGGUUGGAUAAAUUUCCAUGUAACAAUAACUUGUAUCCACUUUUGACUGUAAACUCCCCCGUACCUUCAACACACCAAAUUUCGAGAUCGGGUGGUUUCGUCUGGGCUAUGGGGAUGGAUAAAAUAACAUCUACUUGGUCAAAUUCAACAAUCUCAUGAACUACAUCUUCCUUUCGGUUACCUUGUUAUGGGUUAAUUAAAUCAGCAGCUUUAGUAAAUCUUGUAUUUAUGUGUUGACAUUUAACUCUGUCAUCUCUAGGUCCAGGGGUCAUUCCAAAUGUUCAUUGAUUCCCCGUCUCCAACCCGCCAACCACGAAUGCUUCUCCAGGUGAGAGAAGGGUAAGUUCCCAACCCAAUAGAUAGAAAAUCAGUUUUUGGAUAAUAACGCGCUUUAAAAAAUCUGGUAAGCAAACAAUUUGGUUGAGUCCAAAUACGCCAACUUUGCUUAGCCAACAAAGAUAAAUUAAACAUAGCAAAAUUGCAAAAACGUAAGCCCUCAAUGGAAUUUGGUGCACAUAAUUCUCUCCACGAACUCCAAUGAAUAUCCUUUAACAUUUUAUCAUUCCUCCACCAAAAUCGAUUAAGCACAUUUCUUUUUGCGUCUAACUAUCAUAGGUAAGUCGAGAUAUUUUUUGGAUUUGAUGACAAACGAACACUUAGAAUAGAGGUAGCUAUAUUUCUAUCGCAUUUAGCCACAUUUGACCCAAAAUAGAUCAAAAACUUGUCAUAAUUAACCAUUUUCCCCUAUGCUUUCUCAUAUGUCGAAAUAAUUCUAUAAAUGUUUUCAGCUCCCUCUUUUGAAGCAUCCUCGAAUAGUAAGCUGUCAUCCGCGAAAAAUAGAUGGUUAAUUGUCAAAGGACCUCUACCUAUUCGAACUCCCCUUACCAAAUCCCUCUCCUUAACAUCAUCCAAAAGUGUUUAAAAGCCUCUAGCACAUACCAAAAACAAGUACGUGCUAAGCGGAUCCCUUUGCCUAAGACCCCUUGUUGGCGUAAACCUAUCACUUAGACAUCCAUUGAAUCCCACUAUGUAAGAAACUGAAGCCACACAUCGCAUUAUCAAGGUCACCAAUCAGCAUGAAACCCCAAAUUGACCAUUAUUCCAACUAAAAAAUCCCACUUCACCCUAUCAUAAGCUUUGCUCAUGUCUAAUUUAAGGGCAAAGCUUUUUUUUCUACCCCAUCUUUUUGUUUUCAAAGUAUGCAGAAUCUCAUAAAUAACAAAAAUAUUAUAAAAAAUUUGUGUAUUCGGGAUAAAUGCACCUUGCGCCUUAUGGAUACAUACAUUCAAAAGCCCAUUAAUUCUAUUCACAAUGGUCUUAGAAAUAAUCUUAUAUAAGAAACUACAAAGACUAAUAGGUCUAAAUUGAGUAAUGGUUCUCGGAUUACUAAACUUAGGGAUCAAGACGAUAUGCGUGCUAUUAAUUUCCUCUACCACAACAUCACCUUGGAGAACAACAAGAAAAUAGGAAGAUACCUCUGGUCCCAAAAUAUGCCAAUAUCUCUUAUAGAACAAGGUAGGAAAUCCAUCAAGUCCAGAAGUUUUAAGGGGGGCCAUGCCUCUCACUGCCAAAUUUCCUCCUCUAUAAACGAUUUCAACAAUUCAACAUUCAUAUCAUGCGAAAUGCCUUGUUGUACUUUAUCAAAAGUGGCGCCCGCUUCUCCCUCCUUCAAUGCUGUGAAAAUAUCUUGAAAAUAAUUAGAAACAAUAGCCAUGACUCUAUUUUCAUCCUCAAUCCAUCUUUUUGCCUCAUCCUCAAGACCCUUAAUGGAGUUAUAACACUUCCUUCCUGUUGCUAAUUUAUAGAAAAACGUGGUGUUAUGAUCCCUAUGCUUUAGCCAAUUAAUAUGUGCCAUUUGUUCCUAAUACAAUUCCUCUUUGUCCACCUUAAGAUUUAGCUCUAACUGAAUAUUUAGCAAUUCCAAGAGCGUCUCAUUAGUUGGUUCAUCUGUUACUAACACAUGCAAGGCCUUGUGAUCUCGUUUCAGUUCAGAAUUCCAAUCCAUGAGUCGAUGACCCAAUCUGACUAGUUUCUUGGGUAAUUUUUCUGUAAUAGAGCCCUAGUAAUCUCGGAUCACAUUCUCACACUCACCCUCCAAACACCAAUCAGCAUCAAAUUUGAAUCUCCUCUGUCUUUCCCCAUUAUUUUAGAUAUCCAGAUUUUUACUUGACACUAAAAUCAAAUAGUGGUCAGAGAUUGAAUGUUAUAAGUGAUCAACCAAAAAAUCGGGAAACUGACACUACCACGCCGCAUUUGCUACACCCUGAUCCAGCUAUUCGCGAAUGUUUGUUAAUGCAAAUUUACCCCUCUCCCAAGUGUACCAUUUUUUAUUGUAACCCAAAUCAGUAAUAUCACAAUCGGCCAUUGUAGAAUGAAAAGCUUCUCUUUCUGCCUGAUUUCUACCACUCGAUUUUUCAAAAGAGAAAGUAACUUCGUUAAAAUCACCCAUCGUUAACCACUGUAAGUUUUGAUCCUGACCCAGCCUGCAAAGUAGAUUCUAAGUAGAGUCCUGUAAGUGUUCCUCCAGAUGGCCAUAAAUAUGCUGCCUCCACCCUAAAUAUGCUGCCUCCACCCUAAAUACAAACCACCUUUUCCAUCAAUUCCAACUUCUAUUCUAUUAUAAAAUCCACAUUUCCUACGAAUACUUUCCAUCUUCCUCGCACUUAAUUUUGUCUCCAUUAGAAACAAAAAAUGAGGAUGAACAACUCUCAAUUUAUUCUUGAGACGAUAAACUACCCGUGGAUUCUUCAUUCCAUGGACAUUCUAGCUUAGUAUUGUCAUAAUGUUCUGCUGCCCUUCCUAGCAAAGCCAACUGAUAAAUCAUCAAUGCCUUCGCACGCAUCUGUUACUAAAAUUGUUUGUUAUUGUUUCUUCCCAUCUUCUGGCUGAAUGGGGCUGUUUUCACCAUCAGAUCAAAGUCCAUAAGCUCAGUUACCAUAACCUUAUCCUCAUUCGGCCCAGUUCCAUCAUUAAAUCCCUUAUUAAAUCCAAAAAGAAUCUCAUCAUUAAUAUUUGGAUUCCUAUGAUUGAUAUAACCCCCUGAAUUAGACAUUGAGUACCUAAAGUUACGUACCAUUAAUUCCCUUUCCUGAUACCAACUCGUUUCGAAAUUAUUCGAGUUGUAUGUGUGUGCCCGAUCAUGAAUUUGAGUAAAGCUGAGUUUGUUUCAACAGAAUAGAUGAAAGGCUCCAAACAAAGGUUUUAAAAGGAAAAAGGUUUAACAGUGAAUGGAAAUAUCGGCUAAGGGUAGAGAAUGAACCAACAAUAAAGAUUAUUGACCCGAAUCUCAAAGUAGCUCUUAGGUGAAUGUCGGUUUAGGAAAAUUAGCAAAGAACCUUGACCCGCUAUCAAAUGUGAUAGGAACCAAAGGUAUAAUGAAUGCCACACCAAAGGUGAUAAGUUCGAUUUAGCAAAGGAAGGGAUGAGGCCACAAGAUAACUUGAUAAGUCAAUUCAGUCCCGAAAAGAAUAAGGAGAAGUGGAAAUCACACAAGUUUCAAUUUUAACAUAAAUUCAGCAAAAUUCCCUUAUAAUGAGCUGAUUACAAGUAUUUAUAAUGCUAAAUAAGGCCUAGCUGAAAAGUCACAAUUAUUUAGCUUAAAUGAGCUAAUAAUGAGUUGAAAUUAACUUAAUCAUUAAGCUCAAACUCUUGAAAUUUCAAGCCUAAGUAACAGCAACUUUAAUAUUCCAAUUCAGCUGAUUAAAUAAUCUUGAAUGCUUAGGUUUCAUUCUUGAGCAGCCAAAUAAUUUAGGAAGAGCUUUAAAUUAUCCCUUGCACAGCCAAAUAGACACCAUGGAGAAAAAGAAUAGGCUGCUGAAUUUAAAGGAUGUAUACUGCUUUCCUUUAAAUAAUGUAACAGCUCAUUUGAAUGAUGUAUAAUGCUCUCCUUGAAUUGAUGUAACAACCCCUGUAUGUAACAGAUUCCAACUGAAUAGUAACAAUUAACACUUUGUAACAACCCUUGUACUUAAUUGAUUCCAACUAAAUGGUCACCUGCAAACAUUUAUUAACAAACACAUUUAAACACACUAAACUUAAUAAGCAACUAAAUAGUCACCUGCAAGCAUUUAUUAACAAACACAUUAAAACACAUUAAAACACAUAUUAGACUUAAUAAGUUUAAUUAAUAAACUGUAAAUAAACACAUUUAACACUUAACUUAAUUUAAUAAACUAAAAAAACAUGCAACAAUAAAUUAUUCCAGCAACUAAAUUAACUAAGAUGAACUUAAUUAACUAAGAUGAGUAAUUUGUUCCAGGAACUUAAUUAACUAAAAUGAACUCAAUUAACUAAGAUGAGUAAUUUAUUCCAGCAACUAAAUACUUAUUCCAGCAAAUUAAAAAUGUGUUGAAGUUAAGCUAAAUGAGCUUGGGUUGAACUAGAUGAGCUUGAAGAAGCUAGAAUUGAGCUCAAUGAGCUGAAAUUAAGCUUCAUUUUGCACUUGGGCCCCUUGAGCUUAGGCCAAUUCUGAGGUCGUCGAGUUGUAUCGAAACAUGAUGCGGCCGGGAUAGCAUCAUUUCCUUAUCCGCAUAUCGAAAGUCCAUCCCAUCUGGCUGAUGCAACCAACGAUUGAUUCUCACCGGUCCUCCCUUUAUCGUGGCUCACAAAGUGGUAUCCCAACCAAACACUAUUUUGGACGGGUCAACACAAACCCUCACUGGACAAAAACUUUCCCCAUGUCCAAGCUUUCCAUAUAUAAAACAAAAGAGGCUAAGCUUCUCAUAUUGAAAGCGAGCAUAAUAUGGUUGAUCUCCCACCUGAAACCUUUCCCUCUAUUUAGGGGCCAAACUCACAUCCAAUCUCACUUUUAUUCUCAUAUACCAUUACAACCUUAAAGACAAAAUUCGCAUAUCAUAUUCCAUGAACACUCCAAAAUGUUUAGCCAUUGUUUCUAACAUAAGACCUGAGGGCAAAUCAUGGAUUUGAAUCCAAAAUACAACAUAAUUUAGCAAGACUGUGAGUGGAUCUUCUUUCAUUUGCCGUUUAUGUAAUAAUAAAUGGUUGUUAAAAAACCAUGGAACACCUUUUAAAACUUUGUUCAUAUCAACCGUAUGAAAGAACCUAAAUGAGUAAUGUUUCUCCCCUAUAUUAGUUAUAGUAAUACCUCCAAUAGGGUGCCAUAAAUCAGCCAUGGUAUUCCGAAAAGACGAAAAGUGGAGCACUCUAUUUGUUAAACAAGUUCCAACCAGUGAAAACUUUAUAUCUCGUUCCAUCUCUUUUGCAUCCUCCUGAAAAACAUCCUCUUCCUCAUUUGAAAGGUGAAGAUUUGCCAGAUCAUCCACCAUUAAAGCACCAAUCGAACCGAGAAUUAGAAAGACCGAAAGAGGAAUUGUAAGAAACCAUAAGAAAACUAAAAAGAACAAAAUUGUGUCAAUGAGGACAGAUUAAAACUGUGCUAGAGAGCAAAUUGUUCAAAAUUUAUACAUUAUAAAUUUAAAUUAACGUUAAAUUUUCACAACAAAAUUUGACGAGUGUUGAAACCACCAAAUAUAAAUUCCUACGACAAAAUAACACUAACUAGUAGUAGGGUUGAAUCCAUAGGGAUUGGUUGUCUACUUUCGCCUUUUCUCGUGAUCAAUAUUAUUUUCACAACAAUAGUCGUGCCCACGACUCGUGACAAACUUGCUGGGAAAAAUAAAAAGUAAGGGAAGAUAAAAAUGUUUAGAAAGUAAAUAAAGCAAAAUAGUAGCAAUAAACAAUUUAAUCAAAAAUAAAAUGAAAUAAGAAAAUGGAAUUGAAUUUCGUAAGUAGCAUAUAUAUUUAAGCUUAGCCUCAGCCUCACUAUACUCUGAACUCGAAUCGAUCCUUGAAAAAGGGAUUUUUCCUUUCCAAAUGAUAAGUUCGUUAUAGCGAUCAAGGACACCUCAACUGCCAACUUUUUCGUAUGUAGUCAGUUCUAGUACGACCUGCAAACUGACCUUUUUUGAAUUUUUAACCAUGUAAUUCGUGAAUGUAAUUUAAGAUUAUGACAGUUUUGCGAUUUAGAAAUCCAAACUCAAAUUAAUGGCCUCAACUGUGUGGGUCGUUUAAAUUCGAUCACUAUCUCCCUUGAUGAAAUCCAACCGGCCUUUUCCCACCUAGACACGCCAAUGUGUUCGCGGAAAUUCAAAUACAGCACAACCGACUUGACUUCCCAAAUAUACGCCAAAACAACUCCAACCCAACGUGCACUUUAUGUUGAAAUGGAAUUAACUUUAAGGGACGAAUUUAUACUAUCCCAUAUUCUAGAGAGAUAGUAAAAACCAUGUUGAAAAGUGCGGGUUCAUAUCUCACGAUUUUUUUAGUGGAGCGAUAAUUAGGCUAAAGCUAUAAUGGAAUUAGUUAAGCAUGAUAUUAACCAUGUUAGUUGGUGUAUGUAAAUGGAUUUAAUGGAAAUGGUAGAAGGUGGAAAAGGAAUGGACUUGGGAAGUAAUUAAGCCAAAAGUAAUAAAAAUGGAAAAGUGACAGAAUGCCUGUAUUGUUAAAAUGUAUGAAAGGAGAAAAAGAAAUAAAUUGCUUUUUGCAUUCAAUUUCCAAGUGUAUUUUUUAAAGGCCACCAACACCAAGUAUUUAUACACAUUCCUCAUGCUAAAUUUAGCAAGAUUUUUUCCUAAAAAUAUCAACUAAAAAUCAUAUUCAUAUAAUUUAUAGAAUUUUGACAAUUUCAAAAAUCUAAUUUUAACUAGUCAACCACUAAUUUUUCAAUUCUUCAAUUUGGCUCUCCUCUUUGCUUUUCAUUCCAAUUUAGCCCAUUUUGUUUGAUUUUGAAUUUCAACACUCCAAUUUUGUCCUUGAUAAGAUUGACACAAGUUUAGUAGCAUGCUAUUCGAAAAUUAGCCAAAAAUAAUUACAUUAAAAGCACAAAAUUAACUUGCUAUCAAACUUCAUUUAUGCCAUUUUGAUUAUUUCUAUUACAUUUAAAUUUUUGUCAAGAUAAAACCUUUGAAUAUUGUCAAAGGUUGCACGAUUACUUUGGUGCAUAGUUGCCUAUUCACAUCUCACUUAGAUGUAGUUAUAAUAUUUUGAUUAUUGAUGCAAAUUUUUAGAUAAACAGUAAUAAUAACUAGUUAGUAUUCUUGUGUGAUGCACGGUCAGUAGUCUAUAUUAAAUUUAUAAUAGUUUUUUAUAAUAUUAAAUUUUAAAAAAAUUAAUGAAUUUCAUAAAAAUCAUUAAUAAAUUGAAAAUGUAAUGCAAUUGCAAAGUAUUUUAAUAAUAUUUAAUAUUAGAAUAAUAUAAAAAUUUACCAUAAUUUGAAUAUUAAUAUUAAUAGAUAAUCAUUUAAAUAAUAAUAUUAAUAUAUUUUUACAGUUUAUUUAUUUUAUAUAAAUUGAUAAAUUAUUAUUUUUAAUGUUAAAAUUAUUAAUAUUGAGUUUUUUGUAUUUUUAUAUUUAUCUUUACUCUAAUAAUAAAAAAAAUAAAAAAUUUAAAAAAUUGUAAUAUAUAAAAUAAAUAAAAAAUUAAAAUAUAUAUUGAAUACACUAUUAUAAACAAAAAUAAUAGAUAAAAGAUGGAUAUGAGAAUAUGAAGAUUUCUAUUGCAUUCUAUAUUUUUCAUCAUAUUUACAAUUAGCAUACUUCUAUAUAUAUAUAUGGAGAUUAGACUCUUCUUAUUUUAAUUCAUAAAUAGAAAAGGGGUUACAAAAAGAUGAAAGGUUUAAGGAAGAUGAAAGGCUAAAAGUUAAAGAAGAUGGAAGGUGGAAGGUUAAGGGAGAUGAAAGGUGAAAGGUUGAACAUCCACUUAAUAGCAUUCAUAACACUCCCCCUUGGAUGCUAAUUUUAUAAAGGAUAUGCCUCAUUAAAAAUCUUACUAGGAAAAACUCUAUGGGACAAAAACCUAGUGAAGGAAAAAAGAGUACACAAUCUUUUGAUACACAGUAUGUCACAACCUUAAAAGAAAAUGUAGUGAGAAUUUACUCCCCCUCAUGUAGGCAUCACUUAAGAUCUUUGAAACGACACAAUCCAAUGUUGAAAAUUAACUUCUCAAAUUCUUACUUGAACGAAUCUAUUGAACAUUUAUAUCUCCAUUCUUUUGUAGAUCAUGAGUGAAGAAAAUUUUAGUGAUAUCUGUUUUGUUCUAUCACCCCUAAUCUAUCCAUCCUUUAAUCGUGCAAUACAAGUUGUAUUAUCUUCAAAUAAGACUAUUGGAGCUUCUUUUUUAGAGUAUAAACCACAGUCUUUUUGUAUGUGAUGAAUUACAGACCUUAGCCACACACAUUCACAACUAGCCUCCUGGAUUGCCAAAAUCUCAGUAUGAUUAGAAGAAGUAGCAGUAAUUGUUUGUUUCAUAGGACGAAAAGAAUCUUUAUUUACAUUAAGUGACCUAACAACCAUUGGGGUGCUCAACGGAUGUGCAUUAUGCAUGUAAAAUCUUCUUAGUACUUUUUCUAUAUAUGUUGUUUGAUGCACAAUGAUUACAUUAUUUAGGUGCUCAAUUUGUAACCCUAGACAAAAUAUUAUCUUUCUAAGGUUUUUCAUUUCAAAUUCUUUCUUUAAGCACUCAAUUGUCAUUAAAAUCUCUUCAGGAGUCCCUACGAUAUUUAAAUCAUCAACUUACACAGCAAUUAUAACAAAUCCUGAUCCAAACCACUUUAUUUAAAUGUAUGAGGAAAUGAGAUCGUUAUUAUAGCCUUCUCUCAAUAUGUACUCACUAAGGUGGUUAUACCACAUGCACCCAGAUUGUUUCAAUCCAUAAAGGGAUCUAUUUAAUUUGACUGAGUAAUGUUCUCGAGAACAUGAAUUUGCUACUUCUAACAAUUUAAAACCUUAUGGAGUUUCAUGUAAAUGCUAUUAUCAAGUGGGUCAUAUAAAUAAGCUGUAACUACAUCUAUUUGGCAUAAAUCAAGCAAUUCUCUUAUUGCCAGACUAAUCAAGAACCUAAUAGUUGCAUCAACCACAAGAGAGUAUGUCUUUUCAUAAUCAAUACUAGGCCUUUCUGAAAAUCCUUGUGCAACCAAAUGUGUUCUAUAUCUCACAAUUUCUCCUUUUUCAUUUCUCUUUCUCACAAAAACCCAUUUAUAUCCUACAGGUUUUACACCUUCAAGUGUACGAACUACAUGUCCGAAUACAUAUCUCUUCGCAAGAGAUUUUAACUCUGCCUCAAUUGUUUUUUUUUCCAUUUUGGCCAAUCAUCUCUUUGUCUACAUUCUUCAAUUGACAUUGGCUCAUGAUCCUGAUGUGAUCCGACUCCGUUGAUUGAUUUGAUUCACUUAAAAGUGUAUUGGUGUUGGUAGGUUCGGUUUGGAAUAGAAACAAGGUAAGAUAGAAAAGGUAAUUGAUGGAGAUUGAUAAUAGAACUUAAACGUCAAGAAAGUUUCAAUAAUAUGAUGAGUAUUGCCCCAAAUCUUAUAUGGUUUAAGGUGAAAAGAUGGAAACAGGAAUAUGAACCUCGACCCGUUACUUAGCAAAGUAAGAACUGAAGGCAUAUUGAAAUGGAUGAGCGCCACACCAGGAUUGGUGAUAAGUUCGGAAAGAGUUCGGUUGACACCACUAGCACGCUAGAUAAGCCAAAUCAAGACUCACACAAAAUAUGAGAGGGACAAUCCUCACAAGAACAAUAGUUCAUUCAGAAAUUUGACAAAAAAAAGUAAUUAAAAUGGGUUCAAAAGAUGGCUUGGUUUUGGAGAUGGAUAGGUUCGGUUUUAACAAAUAAAAUAACUUAUAAGUUAAUCGAUAAAAAUGGGAAGGAAUACAAACUCAAGCGUCAAGAUCGAUUCAAUACUAUGUAGAGUAUUGCCCCUAGACUUAUAUUGCUCAAGGUGGGUUAAAUAGUUUAUCGAAGACUUACCUUGACCUGUUACUUAUGAAGAAGUAAGAACCAAAGGUAUAAUAAUAUGGUUGAACGCCACACCGAUUCGGUGAUAAGUUCAAUGGAGUUCGGAUUGACGCCACUAGCAAGCUAGAUAAGUCACUUUGAGACUCGAACAAAAGAAGAGAUGAGGUAACCUCACAAGAACAAAAGUUCUAUUAAGUUUAGUUGAUCAAAUUCUGUAACCUUUUACAAUAAACAAGUAAACUAUUUAUAGGCAAAGACUAAGCUAGCCGAAUUGUCACAUACAAUCCUUAAAAAUUAAGCAAAUGAAUUCAAUUAAUUUAGCUAGCAAGAUUCGGCUGAAUGGGAGCUUCAAUGGUCAGCUUCUAGAAUGAGCAAUGGACUUGGAAGCUUGGAAAGAUGCAUGGCAGCAGCUAGGUUCGGUUAAUAGGCUUAAAUAAGCUAAAUUAGUUGGCAACGUUUGCUGAAAAGUGACCAGCAAUUAAAGGAGGUAAUGAGAAGCCAUUCAAGGUGUGAAAACUCAGCUUUGAAUAGUCAUUGAGUGUGAACACUAUGAACCGAACAGCCAAGAUGAAUCCAGCAAUGUGAAAGGAAUAAAUGGCAGCUUUGGAGUAGGAAACAUUAGCUCCCUCGGCCGAAUAGUCACAUAGGAAUGUUCAAAAUUCAACUCACCAAUUUGAUGACAUUUCAUGCAUGUAUCGCCAGGUACAUUGAACCCAACAUGCAUGCACCUUGCUUAAUGUAUUCCCACAUUCGGCCAACCUACACAAAGAUGAAUGAACUUAAUUAAUGCAAAAUUCAGCUAAACAUAAUUAAGAAUAUAACCUGGACAAAUUAAAAACACAUGAUUAAAACUAAACACACUUAGUUGAAAUAAGAUAAGACGAAUUAAAAGCAUGCAAUGACACAAACUUAUUUAUGAGCUGUAGUAAUUAGGAAAGGUACUUAAUAUCAUGCAAUAAACACAAAUUUAAUAAUGUUUGUCCAGAUUGGAACCAAUUAAAUACCGAAUAUAAAUUGAGCUAAAUAAAUUAACAUAUUAAUUUAUUUCAGCAACUAUGUAAUCGCAUAAAUGAAACUGAGCUGAAACAAAAAUUAUCGAGCUGAAAUUGAGCUAAUUCGAGCUCUUGGAGCUGGAAACGAGCUAAAUGGAGCUCAACGAGAUGGAAUUGAACUAAUUCAACUCGCAUGGGUUUGCAAGCAAUGCUUAGGGAGAUGGUCCAAAAGUGUGCCCGGGGCGUGGUCAUAUCAGAUCCACAUUGACAUUCAAAAUAUCUAGUGCUACAUUGCAUGCAAAUAUGUCAUCAACGUCGAUUUGAUUUUGGUUCCACUUAAUUCUUGACAUGACAUAAUUUGUUGAGAUCUCUUCAUUAUCAGGUACCUGAGAUUUUUCUUGAGCUUCAGUCAUGUCUAAAAUUUCUUCUGAAGAUUUUUUUAAAGUCAUUGCUUCCUCGAUCUGACCAUUAUCUGUUUUUGCUCCUUUUCUUUUUCAAUGAUUCUUAUCUCUAGAACCAAUUGGUCUACCAUGCUUCAAAUGUGCUUUAGACUCACUAGCAACUAGAGUUUGUCCUUCAGGGACACCUAUUUUGAUUGGAGCAUUUACAGCUGAUAUAUGUGAUUUUGUCACUCUUUUUAGAUCAAUAAAUGUGUCUGGCAAUGGAUUUGCUAAACUUUGCAAAUGAAUUAUCCUUUCAACCUCCAGUUCGCAUUGUUGCGUACGAUGAUCAAGAUGAGACAAUGAUAAUUCAUUCCAAUCUAUUUCUUUUUCCAACUGUUUAUUUUCUACCUUUAACGUUGGAAAAACUGACUCGUUAAAAUGACAAUUAGCAAAUUGAGCCGUAAAUAAAUUCCCUGUUGAUGGCUCGAGAUAUUUAAUUAUUGAUGGGGAUUCAUAUCCAAUAUAUAAUCCUAACCUCCUUUGAUGACCCAUUUUAGAGUGUUGUGGUGGAGCAAUCAAAACAUAUAUAGCACAUCCAAAAAUUCUCAGAUGGGAAAUAUUUGGUUCCUAACCAAAAACCAUUUGUAACGAGGAGAACUUAUGAUAACUUGUUGGCUUAAGUCAAAUUAGUGAUGCUGCAUGUAGUAUGGCAUGACCCUAAGCAAAAAUUGGAAGUUUUGACUUCAUAAGUAAUGGUCUUGCAAUCAAUUGAAGACAUUUGAUUAAUGAUUUAGCAAGAUUGUUUUGUGUAUGAACAUUUGCUACAGGAUGUUCAACAUUUAUUCCAAUAGACAUACAAAAAUUAUUGAAAGCUUGGGAAGUAAAUUCUCCAGCAUUGUCAAGACAAAUUGUCUUGAUAGGGAAAUCUAGAAAAUGUGCUCGUAAUUUGAUCAACUGAACAAGUAACCUUGCAAAUGGCAGGUUGCGAGUUUAUAACAAGGAUAUAUGUAACCAUCUAGUCGAAGCAUCGAGUAAAACCAUAAAAUAUCUAAAUGGUCCACACGAAGGGUUUAUUGGUCUACAUAUAUCUCCUUGUAUCCGUUCUAGAAAACUGAUAGAUUCAUAAUUUAUCUUGGCUGGUGAUGGUCGAAUGAUUAAAUUGUCUUGAAAGCAAGCAUCACAUGAAAAAUUAUUAGCUUGAAGAAUCUAUUAGUUCUUGAAUGAAUGUCCACAUGAAUUGUCAAUAAUUUUUCACAUCAUAAUUGAUCCAAGAUGGCCUAACCGGUCUUGCCAAAUAAUAAAUUCAUUAGUAAACUUCUGAUUUAUUAUAUCAUGUGCUUUAAUUAUACUAAUUCACAUGUAAUACAAACCAGAGGAGAGUGCAGACAAUUUCUCCAAAAUAUUUUUUAUUUCUUUGGAUUAUACUCGUAAUUUGAAGAUAUUCAUCAUAACCUUCACUUAUUAUCACAACAUGAUAUCAAUUAUGGCGAAUAUCUUUAAAACUCAAAAAAUUUCAUUGAGACUUAGGAGAGUAUAAUGCAUCAUUAAUUUGAAACUUAGUUCCUCUGGGCAAUAAUAUAUUUGCUCUUCCAGAGCCUUCUAUGAUUUUGGUACUACCGGACAUAGUACUCACACUAGCUUUUUACAUUAUCAAAUGAGAAAAUAUUUAUUAUUCUUAAGUAAUGUAUGAGUAAUUACACUAUUUUCUAAGCAUAAGUGUAAUAGUCCAUUUUGCCCGGCCCACUCAAAAGAAGACCAACCCAUAAACUAUUAACCUAAGCCCAAUGACAAUACAUCAAACCCAAACCCUAGCCCAACAUCAAAUUUUUAGAAACCCUAAAUUGGCCUCCCCUACACGCGCACCGCUCCCACGCACAGCAGCUCCCACGUACGCCUCCACGUUGACUGACCACGUACCUGCAAUACAGUAAACAAGGAAGCAAGCAGCAAAAAGAAAGGGACUAAUAGUGAAAUGGAAGGAAAGAAAUAUUAUUAUUAUUUGUUUUAUAUAUCUUUUCUUUCUUUCUUUUCUUUUCGUUUUGGCUAUAAAAAUCAAAUUAAAAUCAGUAAAUAGGAAGAGACAUAGAUAGACAUUAAAAUAAAAGAAAAAUCGAAGUUUAAAGGUGAAUCGCGUCUAUUAUUGUCUAUUUUUUGUUUUUGUGUUUCAUUUUUUUAUAUAUACAUAAACUACAGUAAUGGGAGGGGGAGGUAUUACCUCCCAAGAUUCGCCGUCGAAACCGCAUUCACCUCGCUCAAAUCGGAGCUUGACGGAGCGCCGAGGUUUGGUUGGAGCUAAGAACGGCGGCAGGGAAAUAGCAAAACCCUAGCAGAGGGUUACUCUGUUGCUUUGAAUUAAAGGGGAAAAAUGAUGUUUUUAGAAAAAAAUUUGGUUUUAUAACGGCUGCGAAAGGACGUCGUUUGAGGCUUGCUUCAGUGGCCUCCAAACGACGUCGUAUAGGGCCGAACCCGAUGACCCGACCGAGAAACACUAGAUCCGCGUGUUUUUCUUGUUAAUGGGAAAUUUGCGCGUUUGGUCCCCCGUUUUUUUGUUUGAUUUUAAUGCAGUAUUUCAUGUCUUUUAAAUUUAGCCAUUUUUUUUCUUUAUGUUUUAAUUUGGUCCAUAGAUCAUGUGCAUACGCCCACUGGAACGGUGCCAUUUGACCAGCAUGAGAAUAUUUCCCUUUGGGUCCUCCUCUUGUUACGCGCAUUGGGAUUUGGUCCCUUGUUUUUUUAAUUCUGACCCCCGAUCUUCAUUUAUUUUCAAUCAGAUCCCUAAUCUAACACUUUAAAUUUUUUAGUAUGUUAAUACUGUUAGUACUCUUAUUAUUAUUAUUAUUAUUAUUAUUAUUAUUAUUAUUAUUAUUAUAACCAUGUACUUCUUCAACUACACGCAUAUACUUUAUAUGUUAUAUAUGUAUACAUACAUAUUUUAUAGUACACAUAUAUUUCCCAUAUUUUAUAAUUCAAAAUAUACAUUCAUUUUUUAUAGUAUAUAUAUAUACACUUUUUUUUAUUUCUAAAUUAUUAUAAAUAUUUUUUAUUAUUCUAUAUAUUCCAUUAUUUUAUAUACAUAUUGUACAUAUAUACAAGUAUUUAAAUAUAUACAUAUACGUAUUUUCAUGAUUUAUCUAUAUAUAUACUUAUAUUUUUUUUAUUUUGUAAAUACAUACACCUAUACAUACUUUUAUAUUUUUUUUAUCUUACUUUCAUAAUUUUCACAUACAUAUAUAUAUACACAUUUUUUAGAAAUUAUUAUCAGUUUUUUUGUUUUAUAUAUUUCAUUCCUUUUCUUUUUUAUAUGUAUGCUUAUAUGUGUGUUUUUAAUAUAUGCAUACAUAUGUUUUCACAUUUUUACAUUGUACUUAUACAUAUAUAUAUACAAAUUUUGUAAAUACAUACACAUAUAUAAUUUAAAUUAAAGUAUUUGUUUCAUGUUGUUCAUUAACAUUUUAUCAUACUUUUAAAGAAAAUAUAUUUGGUUUCAUCAAAGCAUUGAAACCAUUCUUGUUCAAAGGCUUUCAAGAUCAUGUAAUAUUCGAUAUUUGGGAUUUUCGAGAAAAUUGAGUCCUAACGUAUUGGGUUCCAAUUUUCCUUGUUAACCCUAAAUAAUCGAGAAUAUUUUUUCAAAAUGCAUAAAUAAAAAUCAUUUUCGGGAAUUCAACAUGUUGUAUCCUAAUGUAUUGGGUAUGACAUUUUUUUCUUGAGAUGAAAUUUUUCCUAGAAAAAAGGUAAUAUUCAAAGUUUGAGAAUUUUGAGAAAUUGUACUCCAACGUAUUGAGUCUCGAUUUCUUCAUCUAACUUAAACAAUCGAAUAUUCCCUAAAUAAGAGGAUUUUAAUAUGUAAUUUGAUUUAUACAAGUUUUUUUUAAAUACAAUGAUUAUAUUUUAAAAAAGCUUUUCAAACUUUUGACAUUAAGAUAUUAAAUAAUCAAUUCGGUACCGAUUUUGGGCGUUAUGAGGGUGCUAACCCUUCCUUGUGCGUAACUGAGUCCCGAACCUAUUUUCUCAGAAUUCGCAGACCAAAAUAGUUUUUAAGGUGAGUCGAUCACACCUCAAUAAAGGAUCUGUGGCAACUCUAUUUUUUUUAUUUUUUUUAAAGUCGACAACUAAAUUUUUGUUCUCAUAAAAAAUGGUUUCGACAGCUUGGCGACUCCACUGGGGACAUUUUAGAGAGUCGAGCCAUAAAUUAAUUAAUUUUUGUCUUUUUGUCGAAAAAAAUCAAAAUUUGUUUUAAAUCAUGAUUUCCCCUUUUUCACUCAUUGGUUUUCCUCAUGAUAUGCCUUCUUAAUUGGUCUAAAUCCGUUAGUUUAUUUGCAUUUUUCAUUUCAUGGUCAAUUUUACCCCUCUAAGUGGGAGUGAGAAACUAGUCCUUCAUGAGGUUUUCACCUCCGUGCAGGAUAGUGGAUCACUUUCGGGAUACAUUCGUACCUAUUUUUUCGUGAUUUUCAUCUCCGUGUAGCCAUAGGGAAAUGUAUCCCCCUGAACUAAACUCUGUCUGUAUGAGCCUAUAAUGGGUGAGGAUCGAAGAAUCUGCUGGUUCGGGUACCUUUGCCCUAGAAGCCAAACCUCAUAUAGUGAACUUUAGGAACUUACCCUAGGUAGAAUUAUACCGAACCCUAGUAGCUACCCGAGUAGGUUUUUUAUUAUUUUCUAUUUGUUUUUUAUACCUAAUACUGGCUUGUUGUGUUUUGUUUUGACUGCAUGGCAUCAUGAUUGCAUUGCAUUUUCAUCUUAGAAAAGAGGUGUUUAUUCAAGUUUGAUUGCUAAAUAGAGAGCUUGUCAUGAAAAACGGAUUUUGUGAUAAAGUGGAAGAUAAUACGGUUGCUUGAAUAUAUUCCAAGAAACACAGUAAAAGAAGGGUGAUAGAGGAGUACAUGUCUUUACUUCAUGGCCUGAAGAUUCAAGCUAAUUAUUCGAGAGCUGUCGACAUUCCAACUUCCUUAAAGAAAAUGAUAAGCAUUACGAGGAUGAACGAGUAUUAAGAUCAAGCAAAAAGGAGGUAGGGGAGACACCCCUUUUUGAAGAAUUCGCAAAAUCUAUCUUAGCAUCCGGAUGAAGAAAGAGAAGAUGUCUUUGCCUGGUGUAUGAUGGCAAAGCUGUAUAUAUGUAUCUGCUUUAUGUAAAGAAAUUUGUCUUCUAGUAAAGUUUUCUAAACUGGAUUGAAUAAGAAUCAAUGUCUCUUUUUGCAUUCAUUUCAUGCAUUGCAUCAUAUGCAUUAAAAACUAUUAAAGGGCCUAAUUAAUCAAAAUCAUUCCUCAGUUCAUCUGGAAUCUAACCAGCCAAUUCAACAUCGUUACAGUCCACGGGCGAAAUAAAAAAAUAUGUACCAAAGAUUGGAAAAGCUCGAGCAAUUCCAAAAAGAAAUGCAGGAUCAGCUUCAGCAGCAAAUGAAUGAGCAGCUCGAGAAAAUUCAGCAGAAUAUGAUAGACAAAAUCAUGGAAUCUCAAGGGAAUAUGAUGACUCAGUUAACUCAACUGUUGACUAGGGGAAAAGAAAAGGGAAAAUGCCCUAUGGCUAAUGUUGAAGAGGGAGGCGAUGAUGGACCUCUUUAUCCUCCAGGCUUUACUCCUCCACGUGUGCAAGCCCGAGCUGAAGUAUACUCAUGCAAAUCUUCUGUCACCAUUAGGCCUCAGCAGUUUCAAACUGAUGCUUCAAGGUCAAUGAAUUUCCAAGUUGGAUCAGGCUCUAGCCCUAAGAAUAAUCCUGUCAAUCCUGUUAUUCCCGAUUUUGGUGAGGUGUUUGAAAAAUAAAAAACAAAAGAGGAAUUACCAAAGCAACUAGAGGAAAGGUGGAAAUGGAUUGAAGAGAAGUUCAGAGCAAUGGAGAGCACUGACAACUAUCGUGGGAUUGAUGCAAAGGAUCUGAGUUUGGUCCCAAAUUUGGCGAAUGACUGGGUAUGUCAACAAUGACCAAUUAUUAAUACAUUGCUUCCAAGAUAGCCUUACAGGGGCAGCGUCUAAAUGGUACAAUCCAUUGAGCCGUACCAGGAUUAGUUCCUGGAGAGAUUUGGCACAGGCUUUUAUGAAGCAGUACAGUCAUGUAGCAGAUAUGGUUCCUGAUAGAAUCACCUUACAGAAAUUGGAAAAGAAAUCGAAUGAAAGCUUUAGGCAGUACGCACAGAGGUGAAGGGAGAUCGCCGUCCAAGUUCAGCCACCGCUCUUGGAAAGAGAAAUGAUAAUGCUCUUUAUAAAUACAUUGAAAGCCCCGUUCAUCACACAUAUGUUAGGAAGUGCUACAAAAAGCUUUUUUGACAUAGUUAUGAAUGGUGAAAUGAUUGAAAGUGCCAUAAGGAGCGGAAAGAUUGAUGCUGGAGGAAAUAACAGAAGACAAGCCUCAAAGGAAAAAGAAAAUGAGGUGAACAGCGUGAAUACGUAUAGCAAAUCGAUUACGGUGAAUCAACCAAGAAAAGUGGUUGCUAAUCAGCAGGGUUCAUCAAGACAAGAAUCAGGUGUGAAGCAAGGCACUGAGAAGCUCCAGUUCACGCCAAUUCCAAUGUCGUAUAAGGAGAUGUAUCAAAGCUUGUUUGAUGCACAUGUUGUUUCCCCUUUUCGUGCAAAGCCUCUAUAACCUCCGUAUCCCAAGUGGUAUGAUGCGAACGCACAAUGUGACUACCAUGCGGGAACUACGGGGCACUCAAUAGAGAAUUGCAUUACCUUCAAAAAGCUAGUUGAAAAACUCAUCAUCAUGGGUGUUGUCAAGUUUGAUGACUCAUCUAGUGCAGAAAAUCCGCUACCCAAUCAUGAUUGACAAUGGGGUGAAUGCAAUAUAUGAAGAGGUGUUGGGAAGUGUUCACAUCAGUGACAUAUACGAAGAAACAACUGAAGAAGGGACAUUGUCAGAUAUUCGCCCUUAUAAACCUUGGAGUGUUCUAAAUAAUUGGACUGCAGAAGAAACCCCUAUAGUAUUUAGAGCUUACUCAGAGUAAUAUUCAGAACACACUUGUUGCUUUUAGCCUAGAGGCAAUAAGAACUCUUUUGUGAAAUAGGCUCAUGUCUGAACGUUAUUAUUCUAAUAAAAUACAUCUUUACAUUCAUUUUUGAGCAAAUAUUCUUUCAUUCUUUUUGAAUAAUUAUUCUUUCAUUCUUUUGAACUCUCUUCCACAUCAUUCUUUCAUUCAUAAUCAUAUUGUACAUAAAUUCAUAUAUUCUUUGGUACCUACUAUGGGUCCCCAGAUAUCAAUGACAUGAGUGACACUGCUACAGACUCGAAAUUUUCUUUUGAGCAAGGCAUGUGUUUAGAUGGAUCUCAUGACUUUGAAAAUGACAUAGACUUGUUGAGGAUGGUAGAGCAGGAAGGAAAUUUUACCUUAUGAGGAGACAAUGGAGAUUGUGAACAUGCAUAACUGGAGAAACAAAGCAGAACCUUGUUGAGUUACAUCAAUAGCUCAAAGACGUCUUCACGUGGUCAUACUAGGAUAUGCCCAGGUUAAUCACUGACAUUGUAAUCUGAACAACAACACGAUAUCAAAAAUUUGUAGUAUGUUCAAUAUUAACAUCAUGAACGAUACAGUGAAAUUUUUUACCGGGACAACGCCUUUCUGUUUGACUUAUCAUAGUUUUGCCAAUUGAGAUCGAGUUUCUAUCUCUCCGAAUUUUGGUUGGAUUUCAUCCUAAUUGAAGAGGAAGAUCCAAAGUUUUUCGUCAUAGUUAAAUUUUUCCCCAAAAGGCUCUAUGAAAGAAAUUUGAUCACAAAGAAGAUCUUACGCAUACAAGAUGAAAGUGGAAGAUCUUAUGUGGAAGACUUUAUCUAGAAAAACAUUGGUUCUGAUCGAAAGGGAUAAUGAGGGCUUGCCUAAUCUUAUGAGUUCAGAUUCAAAAAAAAGGGGUCAAAAUCAAAAUAAAAAUAAAAGUGAUAAAAAAGAAAAAGAAAAAGAAAAAGAAAAUAAAAAUGGAGAGGCCUAGGUGAAAACCCGCAAAGGGCACCUUAAGACCAAAGGGGAUUUGAGUUGAAAACCCAAAAAGGGUGACUCAAAUGUUGAUCAGAAUGGGGUAUGAGGUGAUCAGAACAACUCGAAUUUUAACCAGAUUGGGGCAUGUGGUGAUCAUGUUAUACCUAAAUCAUCAGGAAAGGGUACGCAACAUCUGGGGGCAUUGGUAGAGUACUAUAGAUCUCCUAAACACAUGUCAAACUCAGAAGGGUCUUCAGAAAGUUUGUACAGAGAAGUUCAAGCAGCGAUAUCUGGGGCACCCAAUAUUCAUACUAUUUAUACUGAAUUUGUUAUUCUUGGAACACUUCAUUCGUUUCCAAGUACACAUUCCCAAUUAAUUUCUUUGUUAUCCUUCUUUACUAUCUUUGAUAAUUUAUUCAUUUUGAGCUAUGUUCAGAACUAGCUCUAUUUUGUCCAUCAUUUUGUUCUUUUUGCAAGCGUGUUGCAUUAGAAUAACGAUUAAUGGACUAAUAAAACUUUCACAAGGGAAGUUUUGCAUAUUACUCUAGAAGUUUCUAAAUAAUACAAGAGCCUGAAACAUGAUUAUUAUUUAGAACGCACUAGGUUUAAAGGUUGGAAAUCUGAAAAGGAAGAGUCUAAAUUAGGACUUUCUCUUUGGAUUUUGUUGUCAAAAACAUUGAUUGAACAAAAUGACAAGAUGUCGUGUUGAUGUCAGAGCUUAAAUAAACAAGCAAGCAAUGAUCACCAGGCAAUAGGAAGAGGUUUCCUCGGAGAAGAAAGCUUUUAUUUGUGCAUGAGCUUUUGGUACGACACUCGGGGAAUGGUGUAAGGGACCAGAGAGAUUUAGAUCCUGUAUCCUUGAAUUGUGAUAGAAGAGGAUUGAGAAAAAGCCAUAUAUUUCUACCCUCGAGUUGCAGUGGAAGAAUGAUGGUACAAAAUUUAUGUCCCAGUGGAUUAAACUUUGAGGUUUACAGUGGGGCAAUUUGACUAAGUGUCUUGUUGAAAAUGCCAACCGAGCAGGAAGGCAUUGUAGCAUGUCAGUGAUAAAGCCUUAAUAAACUUCGAGCAAUGAUAACUUAAGAAGGAUCAUUCUAAAAAAAAAGCAUUCUACAUUCAUGCAAACACCAUUCUAAUCUUCAGCAUAAUUGGAUUCAUUAUAAAAUUUCAUGUUUCUCGAAGAAUAGAUCGGUGAAAUCAAAGCUAUGCCUCCCUAGGUUAUAGUAGGGCAGGUUAAAAAUAACAGAUCUUGCCUUCCUGUACUGACAACGAAGUAGAUCGAAGAUUGUGAAUCCUAUCUCCAUGGACAGCAGUGGAAUAGGUUGAAGAUUGCAAGUCCUAUCUCCUUGGACAGCAGUGGAAUAGGUUGAAGAUUGUAAGCCCUAUCUCCCUGGACAGCAGUGGAAUAAGUUGAAGAUUGUAAGCCUUGCCUCCCUGGGUUGCAGUGGAGUAGGCUGAAAACACCAGAUCUUACCUUCCUGUAUUGGCAACGAAGCAGAUCGAAGACACCAACCUUGUUUCCUUGACGUUAUAGCGGAGCAGAUUAAAGCUGAGGGCAGCAAAUCUUAUCUCCCUGGCGUUAAGACUUGGAAUAGCUGAAGUGAAGAGGAUUGAAGUUGUGGGCAGUGAAUCCUAUCUCUUUGGCAAUACAGAUGAAAAGAUUGAAGCUACAACAGCGAAUCUUACUUCCCAGGUGGUGCAGUGGAACAGAUUGAAGCCACAAAGGCGAAUCUUGCUUCCCCGACAUUGCAGUUAAAAAGAUUGAAGCUACAACAGCGAAUCUUACUUCCCUGGCUGUGCAAUGGAAUAGAUUGAAGCUACGACAGUGAAUAUUGUUUCCCCAAUAUUACAGUUAAAAAAAUUGAAGAAAAUAAUCCUAUCUCCCUAAGGUUGCAGUGGAGUGGAUUAAAACCAAAGAUCUUAUCUCUCUGAAGUUGCAGAGAGCAGAUUGCAUACAGUCUUGUCUCCCUGAAGUUGCAGUGGAGCAGACAAAAGAAACAAUCCUAUCUCCCUAAAGUUGCAGUGGAGUGGAUUAAAACCACAGAUCUUAUCUCUCUGAAGUUGCAGUAGAGCAGAUCGUAUCCAGUCUUAUCUCCCUGAAGUUACAGUGGAGCAGAUAGAAGAAACCAAUCCUAUCUUCCUGAAGUUGCAGUGGAGCAGAUUAAACAGAUCUUAUCUCUCUGAAGUUGCAGUAGAGCAGAUCGUAUCCAGUCUUAUCUCCCUGAAGUGGUAGUGGAGCAGACAGAAGAAACCAAUCCUAUCUCCCUGAAGUUGCAGUAGAGUGGAUUAAACAGAUCUUAUCUCUCUAAAGUUGCAGUAGAGCAGAUCCUAUCCAGUCUUAUCUCCCUGAAGUUGCAGUGGCGCAGACAGAAGAAACCAAUCCUAUCUCCCUGAAGUUACAGUGGAGCAGAUUGAAAAGAUCUUAUCUAUCUGAAGUUGCAGUAGAGCAGAUCACAUCCAGUCUUAUCUCCCUGAAGUUGCAGUGGAGCAAAUUAAAACCACAUAUAUUAUCUUGCUAAAGUUACAGUAGAGCAGAUCGCAUCCAGUCUUAUCUCCCCGAAGUUGCAGUGGAGCAGACAGAAGAAACCAAUCCUAUCUCCCUGAAGCUGCAGUGGAGCGGAUUAAAGCCAUAGAUCUUAUCUCUCUGAAGUUGCAGAGAGUAGAUCGCAUCAGACUUAUCUUUAAAAUUGUAGCAGAACAAGGUUGAAGUUACAAGUCUUAUCUUUAUGAAGUUGCAGUGGAGCAGACUAAAGAUAACAAAUUUUGUUCUUUUGAGAAGUUACAAGUGGAGUGGGUCGAAGCAUCAAUACCUUCGAAGAUGUAGUAGGUUGAAAUGGGGCUACUUGAAGAGAAAGAGCUCCAAGAUUUAACACGACCGGACAAAAUUGACCAUUUCUAAAGUCUUUGCUAUGUUCUCGUUGCACGUCAACAAGCAAAGAGGGGCAACUGUAAUAGUCUAUUUUGCCCAGCCCACUCAAAACAAAACCAACCCAUAAACUAUUAACCUAAGCCCAAUGACAAUACAUCAGACCCAAACCCUAGCCCAAAAUCAAAAUUUCAAAAACCCUAAACUGGCCUCCCCUAUACGUGCGCCGCUCCCACGCACAGCAGCUCCCACGUAUGCCUCCACGUUGACUGGCCACGUACCUGCAAUACAGCAAACAAGGAAGCAAGCAGCGAAAACAAAAGGGACUAAUAGCGAAAUGGAAGGAAAGAAAUAUUAUUAUUAUUAUUUGUUUUAUAUAUCUUUUCUUUCUUCCUUCCUUUUCUUUUUUUUUAGGCUAUAAAAAGCCAAUUAAAAUCUGUAAACAGGGGGAGACACAGACAGACAUUAAAAUAAAAGAAAAACCGAAGUUUAAAGGUGAAUCGCGUCUAUUAUUGUCUAUUUAUACAAGUUUUUUUUAAAUACAAUGAUCAUAUUUUCAAAAAUCUUUUCAAACUUUUGACAUUAAGACAUUAAAUAAUCAUUUCGGUAUCGAUUUUGGGCAUUACGAGGGUGCUAACCCUUCCUCGUGUGUAACUGACUCCCGAACCUGUUUUCUCAAAAUUCGCAGACCAAAAUAGUUUUUAAGGUGAGCCGAUCACACCUCAAUAAAGGAUCGGUGGCGACUCCAUUUUUUUUGUUUUUUUUAAAGUCGACAACUAAAUUUUUGUUCUCAUAAAAAAUGGUUUCGAUAAUAAGUCUUCACCAUUUAUCGCUAAUUGAAUUUGAAAGGUAUUUAUAUUCUUCAAAGAAAACAAAUAAAUGUCACAUCGAUUUUCAAAAUAUAUAAAAUUUUCAUAAAUAGUUUGAAACAUAAUAUAAUAACCAUGUUGUUAAUAACAUAACAAACUUGCUUAAAAUUUAUUCUUUAAAACUAUAAUAAUAAAAUUAAAAGAUCAAUUAUUCCCUUCAGGGGUGGUGAAGAAAUUAGCCACUUCCAAAUGAGUUGUACUAGCGAUACCAUAAUCAUCUGUCAUUAUCACAAAAAAAAUUAUCUUUAUUUUCUUCCCUUUAUCCUUUAAUGAUUGUUGAUAUAAUUCCACAAGAUGAUUUUGUGUAUGACAAGUAUGGGACCAAUGGUUUUUACCUCCACAAUGAUAGUGCAAACUUUCCACUUUCUUAGUUGUAUUUUUAUCAUUCUUUCCAUCCUUAUGAUCCCACUUCUGGUGAGUAUUCCUGAAAUUACCUCCUCGUUCACGUCCAUGACCACGACUAUGGCCACAGCCAUGUCCUCGACCAUGACUGCUAGUGUGGCUUUUAUCCUUUCCGUUAUAUGAUAUCACAUUUGCUUCAGGGAAUAGAGUAGAGCCAGUUGGACGUGACUCAUGAUUUUUCAUUAACAGUUUAUUAUUUUGCUUAGCCACAAGAAGACAAGAUAUUAACUCAGAAUAUUUCUUAAAACCUUUUUCAUGAUAUUGUGUCCGCAUGACAACAUUAUUUGCGUGAAAUCUGGAGUAUUUUUUUUAACAGAUUCUCACCAGUUAUGUUCUCUCCACAUAAUUUCAAUUGGGAAGUGAUUCUAAGCAUAGUCGAGUUAUAUUCACUCACAGAUUUAAAAUCUUGUAAUCUCAAAUGCAACCAAUCAUAGUGAGCUUCAGGAAGUAUUAUGGUUUUCUGGUGGUCAUAUCUUUCUUUUAAACUAUUUCAAAGGACAAGUGGAUCUUUAACAGCCAAAUAUUCAGUCUUUGGUCCCUCAUGGAGGUGAUGGCGAAGAAAUAUUAUAGCUUUGGCCUUAUCUUGACUAGAUGUUUUAUUUCCUUCAUUAAUAGUUUCACUAAGGCUUUUUGCAUAAGUGUAUUUCAGCAUCUAAUAUCCAAGAUAAAUAGUUUUUUCCAGUAAUAUCAAAAGCAAAAAAUUCAAGUUUUGCAAGGUUCGACAUUGAUGAUAUAGCUACAAAAUAAAUUUAAUAUAAAUAUUAACAAAUUUUCAAGCAAAUAUAAGUAAUCACUUAACAAAAAUUUCAAGCAUAACAUAACAAGAAAAAAAACUCAAAUAAUUACAACAAUUUAGUCAUAAAAUGAAUUACAAGUAAUUUGACUAUGUUAGAAGGUUUUAACAAAUUACGGGAUUAGUGGAAUCCUUAAAAAAAUGAAACAAGUUAUAAACGUAAGUAAUUUUAUCAUGAUGGACAUCAUGAUAAAAUGUAUUACAUGCCUUGAUCCAAACUAACGAAAAAUGCAAGGCUCUUGGAUUAUUUUGAGCAUUCGUACUGAUAACGUAUUAUAAAAAAAAUAGAUAAAAGAUGAAUAUGAGAAUAUGAAGAUUUCUAUUGCAUUCUAUAUUUCUCAUCAUAUUUACAAAUAGCAUACUUCUCUCUCUAUAUAUAUAGGGAGGUUAGACUCUUCAUAUUUUAAUACAUAAAUAGAAAAGGGGUUACAAGAAUAUGAAAGGUUUAAGGAAGAUGAAAGAUUAAAAGUUAAAAAAGAUAAAAGAUGAAAGGUGAAAGGUUGACCAUCCGCUUAAUAGCAUUUAUAACAUUCACAAUUUUUUUAGGAUUGUAAUCUGAAUGAAGAUGUGAUUCAAAUACAUCAAUUUUUUAAGUUGUUAAAUAUGCACGAAUAUAUUAAUUUAUAGUGAGAAGAAUAAAAUUAAGGAAUUUUGCAUUUAUUAAUGAAAAAUAUUUAUGCAUUGAUUACGUUGAUUAUAAAAUCUUAAAUAUUUGUUUCCUUAAAAUAUUUCUCUAUUAUAGUAAUUUAACUAGUAUUAUGCAGGGGAAUAAUGUCUAUAUGUUUAAAAUAUUUUUUUCUUUUUACUAAUUCUAUCAAUCUUUUUUUGUGGUAAUUUUAUUCCUUAAUUUCGCCAUUUUUAAUAUUGUUUUUAUAAUUAAUUUGCAUUUGAUUAGUAUUAACAAAGGGCAUUGAUUACCUUAAUUGCACAGUAAAAAAUAUAUUUUUUCAAUAAUUUUAUUUUUAAUAACUAAUUGCACUGUUUUAUAAUAAAGGGAAUUUGACAUUAACAAAAAUGUAUAAUUGCACCAAUCAUGCAGUUGCUAAAGGGCAUUGACAAAAGAUGUAAAUUUUUGUAUGAUACCACUUAUUAUUGUAUAGUAUGUUAUUAAAUACAAUUAAAAUGUAAUUUAGUCAAUUCAUUUUUUUAUUAAGUAAUGUAUAAAAAUUAUUUAAAAAAUUAAUGUAUAAAGAUUACCAUGUAAAGUCUACUAAUUGGAAUUUAGGGUUUACAAAUACCUAAAAUAAAGUGGGUUACCAUUAAAACAUUUAAUUAAGAAUUCCAUAAAUUACGUUUAAUAUAUAUAUAUAUAUUGUAUUUCUAUAUUUGUAUUUAUUUUAAUUUAUAACGACAAAUGGCAAGAAUUUAAGUAUGCGAUUAUAAAUUGACCCAAAAAUGGAAAUAAACACUUCUAGGUAAGUUAGAUUUUUUCCAAGUCCCAUGUAGAAAUUAACAAAUUAAUUACCGUAUGUGUGAAAAGUAACAAAUUUUAAGUAAUGCGGGAANNNNNNNNNNNNNNNNNNNNNNNNNNNNNNNNNNNNNNNNNNNNNNNNNNNNNNNNNNNNNNNNNNNNNNNNNNNNNNNNNNNNNNNNNNNNNNNNNNNNUAUUAAUUAUUUAAAAAAUAAAUUUAUAGAUAAUAUCAAAACUAACAAUUUUUAAAUAAUGUGAUAAGUAUUUAAUUUCGAAAAAUUUAGUGAUUAAAUAAAAAAAUUAAUAGUUAGGUGAUUAAAAUAAAAUAAAAAGUAUUGUUGGCUGGCAUUUUUAUAGUUUACCCAUAAAAUAAUAAUUUUCAACAUAAGAAAAUCAUAUCAUAUCAUUGAUAUUAUUUUUAUAGAUAAGAUAAUCAGUUCUUGUACCUAAAUUAUUAAUUUAUUUAUAUUAAAAGAAUUUAUUCAAAUCAAAUUUAAAUAAAAAUUACAAAUAAAUUAUCCUUUGAUCAUUAACAACUUUAAUACUCAUUGCUUUGCUUUGAAUUAGUAUAUACUUAAAACUCUCUGUAAACCCAAGGUAAGGUUAUCUUAACCAUUCUGACUUUCGCCCACAAUGGAUUAUUAUAAUCUAAACUUGGGAAAAUGAGAAAGAAGAAAUAGAAAUGUCAAUCAAAAUAGCUGAAUCGCCUUCACCCCAUCUUCAAACUAAGAAGAAGAAAGCUUUGAUCGUGAUUGAUGCCUUCCUUCAACCUCAUUUCCUCUGUGCUUUUGUUUUUUUACAUCUUUGAUCUCGCAGCCGAAGCCAACCCAAGUUUCUUAUACAAGUUCUGUUAUGACAAAGAUACCACUUCCACAACAAACAGCACUUAUGGGACCAAUCUCAAUCUCCUCCUCUCUU
Molecule: long non-coding RNA, 34806 nt
Filed under: Gossypium raimondii (Peruvian cotton)
Lineage: Eukaryota; Viridiplantae; Streptophyta; Magnoliopsida; Malvales; Malvaceae
Description: long non-coding RNA (GRAI_LNC008397)
Source: RNAcentral